GGAUGUGAGGGCGAUCUGGCCACAACAUCUGUCACCCCAUUGAAGGCCAGGGUUGAUACGGCUGAUCUGGUGGGCUGGGUGGGUGUCCCCUUCCUCCCUCAACGCUCCAUGCGCAUCCCUCCCGAAGCUGCGCACUUGUUCAAAGAGGAUGACCACCCCCAAGAGAGGAGGACCAUUCCUCGGUCAAGGGUAUGGGAGUAGCUGCGCUCCCGGGCUAGAACCUCCAAACAAGCUCUCAAGAAACAUUCAAAUGUAUCACUGGUUCCUUUUCCCCAAAAAACUCAAGAGUGUGUUGCCUGAAGCUCCAGCCAGACUUGCUGC
This 321-nucleotide small nuclear RNA is filed under the name Chinchilla lanigera (long-tailed chinchilla). RNAcentral describes it as "7SK RNA (ENSCLAG00000021818.1)". It matches the Rfam family "7SK RNA". From Rfam's summary of the family: 7SK was discovered as an abundant small nuclear RNA in the mid-70s but a possible function has only recently been suggested. Two independent studies have found that 7SK RNA binds the CDK9/cyclin T complex (known as elongation factor P-TEFb). P-TEFb activates transcription by phosphorylating the C-terminal domain of RNA polymerase II. The record is from Rfam by way of RNAcentral. Lineage: Eukaryota; Metazoa; Chordata; Mammalia; Rodentia; Chinchillidae.